Cyanistes caeruleus (blue tit) is the source of this 482-nucleotide non-coding RNA. NCBI's taxonomy places the organism in Eukaryota, Metazoa, Chordata, Aves, Passeriformes, Paridae. The record is from RefSeq and is a predicted model, not a curated record.
UGCCUUGCUUGCAAAGGGCUCAUCCCAGAAGAAUCCCGCUACAAAGCCGUGUCCUACAACGCCUCGGGCAGGAACAUCUCCUACAGGACAGGGCCCUACAAGGUUGGCUCGGGCUACGAAGCUGACCCAAAGACCAGGAAGGGUGCAGGAUAUGAAGAAGCUCCUCGAAAUGAGGAUGUGAGACGCUCGUACCCUGCGAAAUAUGAUUAUGUCUAGCAGACCUUCUGGCCUUGAGUUGUGCUAUCAGAUAUUUUUAACUUCACAAGCAAAAAGUGCAGCAAACCAAGCAGUCUGUAAAUGGGAUUGUGUUUUCUAGCAAGUUUUCUCUACUCUGAGGUUGCAUCUUUGUUGUGAACAUCAGUUUUACUCAACUGCCCGUUAGUAUUAACAGCACCGGGAGGUCUGUGACCAAAGUAAGACCCUGUGGUGCUCUCAGAGUGGAACAUUUUGCUCCUAUUUUCUGUAUAAACAGAUAUACAGGA